CCCUUAGAUGUCCGGGGCCGCACGCGCGCUACACUGAAGGAAUCAGCGUGGCUUUCUCCCUGACCCGAAAGGGUUGGGAAACCCGUUGAAUCUCCUUCGUGAUAGGGAUUGGGGCUUGAAAUUGUUCCCCAUGAACGAGGAAUUCCCAGUAAGCGCGAGUCAUAAGCUCGCGUUGAUUACGUCCCUGCCCUUUGUACACACCGCCCGUCGCUACUACCGAUUGAGUGAUCCGGUGAAUUAUUCGGACUGUAACGCGCUCAGCUUCUGGGUGCAGUUAUGGGAAGUUUUGUGAACCUUACCACUUAGAGGAAGGAGAAGUCGUAACA
This 326-nucleotide ribosomal RNA is filed under the name uncultured eukaryote. Its description in RNAcentral is "partial 18S ribosomal RNA". It matches the Rfam family "Eukaryotic small subunit ribosomal RNA", at positions 1470 to 1796 of the family's 1831-position model. The record is from RNAcentral.